This 77-nucleotide transfer RNA is filed under the name Cordylochernes scorpioides. RNAcentral's name for it is "tRNA-Gly". The stretch from base 13 to 68 matches the Rfam family "tRNA", at positions 8 to 63 of the family's 71-position model. From Rfam's summary of the family: Transfer RNA (tRNA) molecules are approximately 80 nucleotides in length. Their secondary structure includes four short double-helical elements and three loops (D, anti-codon, and T loops). Further hydrogen bonds mediate the characteristic L-shaped molecular structure. tRNAs have two regions of fundamental functional importance: the anti-codon, which is responsible for specific mRNA codon recognition, and the 3' end, to which the tRNAs corresponding amino acid is attached (by aminoacyl-tRNA synthetases). tRNAs cope with the degeneracy of the genetic code in two manners: having more than one tRNA (with a specific anti-codon) for a particular amino acid; and 'wobble' base-pairing, i.e. permitting non-standard base-pairing at the 3rd anti-codon position. The record is from RNAcentral. Lineage: Eukaryota; Metazoa; Arthropoda; Arachnida; Pseudoscorpiones; Chernetidae.
ACCGUUUGCCUUUGGUUCAGUGGUAGAAUGCUCGCCUGCCACGCGGGCGGCCCGGGUUCGAUUCCCGCCCGAUGGUU